GGAGACGUGGCUCGGUGGUUAAGAGUACCUGCUGCUCUUCCAGAGGACUUGGGUUCAAGUCCCAGCAUUCCCA
This 73-nucleotide transfer RNA is filed under the name Rattus norvegicus (Norway rat). It matches the Rfam family "tRNA". Rfam says of the family: Transfer RNA (tRNA) molecules are approximately 80 nucleotides in length. The record is from Rfam by way of RNAcentral. Lineage: Eukaryota; Metazoa; Chordata; Mammalia; Rodentia; Muridae.